GUCCAGUGAUAGGCAGCUCAUUUAGAGAUGCAACAACACUAUAAGAGAACCUAACUUUUUGCUGUAUAUUCUGCCAUAAUUACUGUGUCACAGAUAUCUACUUUCAGGGUUAUAAGAUAGCAAGCAUUGAAUUUUCAUCAUUCAAAACCUGGAAGGUAAUGCUGGGGUUUCUGCUAGGAUUUUUCUUUCAGGGAGGAAAAUCUCCCCCACAGUUCCCCAGAUCAUUUCUCUUACAUCUUACUGGGCACCAGUUACUGGCAAAAGAAAAUGUGAUUACUAUGAUUGACUUCAACCAACAUGAACCAAUUCCCAGAGACUGGAGAAAACUUCUACCUCUCUUGAGUCACUUACUUUAUUCCUGGAAGAAAUUGGAUAGCUGUUAGCCAGAAAGAAGAUAUGAAUGGCUGAUUCACCUGGUUAAUCUCUAAUGAUUCCUUAGUUUUUUCAUGUUUUCGCUUUACUGAUGUGAUCUAUACAUACUGGUCUUCUCGUUCUGUCUUUGAUUCUUUCCAAAAGUCAUUUCUUUUUCACACUUAAAAAUAUCACUCGUGAUGAUUCUUUCUAAUUUUUUUGUUUUUUAUCUCUAGCUAUUUCUUUCUAAGCUUCAGUUCAGAAUAUCUGUUUUGUGGACACCUUCAUCCACAUUUAAUUUAAGUGAAUAUUUACUAAGUUUCGGGGAGUGAAAAAUAAAUCUUGCACUAUACAGUUAGGCAUUUUUGUUGGAGGAAUUAGCUAGAGAAACAAGUUAUUACAACACAGUAGUACUUAGAAAGGCAAUCAAACAAUAAAACUUUCCAAAUAGAAGUAGCAUAGAUGAAGGGGCUGUUAAUAGAGCCAUAGGCCUGUUUAUAAUGGAACUUGUCUUUCCCUUCAAACAUUGUCCUGUAUUCUGCAUUUUCGUGAAAACAUAGCUGUGCACAACUUUAUUCACUCCAGAAACUGGUAAUCUGAAAUCCUUCCUUAUCUAUAUAGCCAGCCAAUUGGCAAAAUGUAUAGAUUCUACUUCUUAUUUUAUAAUUUUUUGGUCUUUAUAUCAUGGUCAUUGUACUUUAGGUCUCAAUUACUAAUCUCUGAUUUAUUCACUCAGUGAAAGUUCAUUAAGCAGCAGUAUAUUGUAAAGGUUUUAUUCUGUUGGUUCUAGGAGGAAAAAGAAAGAAUAAAACAAGAUCUCUCAGGGAGGUUUCAACUCAGUGGAUAAAAAGAGUGUCUCAAAAUAAAAUAAAAAGGGUUGGGGGUAUAGCUUGGUAAUAGAGCAGAACACUUCUGGGUUCAAUCCUCAAUAUUGCAAAACAAAACAAAAUAAAAAACCCAUAGUGAGU
RNAcentral lists this long non-coding RNA (1319 nucleotides) under Marmota monax (woodchuck). Lineage: Eukaryota; Metazoa; Chordata; Mammalia; Rodentia; Sciuridae. The record is from RNAcentral.